This 433-nucleotide ribosomal RNA is filed under the name uncultured bacterium. RNAcentral's name for it is "partial 16S ribosomal RNA". It matches the Rfam family "Bacterial small subunit ribosomal RNA", at positions 29 to 507 of the family's 1533-position model. The record is from RNAcentral.
AACGAACGCUGGCGGCAUGCCUAACACAUGCAAGUCGAACGAGACCUUCGGGUCUAGUGGCGCACGGGUGCGUAACGCGUGGGAACCUGCCCUUAGGUUCGGAAUAACUCCCCGAAAGGGGUGCUAAUACCGGAUAAUGUCUUCGGACCAAAGAUUUAUCGCCUUUGGAUGGGCCCGCGUUGGAUUAGCUAGUUGGUAGGGUAAAAGCCUACCAAGGCGACGAUCCAUAGCUGGUCUGAGAGGAUGAUCAGCCACAUUGGGACUGAGACACGGCCCAGACUCCUACGGGAGGCAGCAGUGGGGAAUAUUGGACAAUGGGCGAAAGCCUGAUACAGCAAUGCCGCGUGAGUGAUGAAGGCCUUAGGGUUGUAAAGCUCUUUUACCCGGGAUGAUAAUGACAGUACCGGGAGAAUAAGCUCCGGCUAACUCCGUG